UAGGGAAUCUUCCGCAAGGGACGCAAGUCUGACGGAGCAACGCCGCGUGAGUGAAGAAGGAUUUCGGAUCGGAAAGCUCGGUUGUUAAGGAAGAACGAGUGUGAGAAUGGAAAGUUCAUGCUGUGACGGUACUUAACCAGAAAGGGACGGCUAACUACGUGCCAGCAGCCGCGGUAAUACGUAGGUCCCGAGCGUUGUCCGGAUUUAUUGGGCGUAAAGCGAGCGCAGGAGGUUAGAAAAGUCUGAAGUGAAAGGCAGUGGCUCAACCAUUGUUGGCUUUGUAAACUGUUUAACAUGCGUGCAGACGGGGAGAGUGGAAUUCCAUGUGUAGCGGUGAAAUGCGUAGCUAUAUGGAGGAACACCGGUGGCGAAAGCGGCUCUCUGGUCUGUAACUGACGCUGAGGCUCGAAAGCGUGGGGAGCGAACAGG
Molecule: ribosomal RNA, 429 nt
Filed under: Bacteroidota bacterium
Lineage: Bacteria; Pseudomonadati; Bacteroidota
Description: Bacteroidetes bacterium partial 16S ribosomal RNA
Rfam family: Bacterial small subunit ribosomal RNA
Source: RNAcentral